UCAAUUGAAAGAUGCUUCUUGCCAUUAUUUUGUGGUUCAUUGUCUUUUUAUUGUGUCACAUUGAGUAAAUCCAUCAAAUUACAUUCACUCAGGUAAAAUAUGAUUUAUUUUGCUGUGGUCCUGAAGAUAGAUGGUGGUGCGCCACUGCUGAAAAGCACUCUUUUAAUGAGGUUACAUUUGUUCCUGAAAAAAUUUUAUUCCUUAGAGCUGCAGGGUAUUCUUUCAGUAUUUUUUUUGCCAACCCAUAAAAAAAAAUAUUGUCAGUAAGUCGAAAUCAGUUGAAUUUUUUAUUAAGUUCUUUCCAUAAGGUAUAAAAUGCUUACACUUAUUAGUUAUAAAAUGUACUAGGUGUCCCAUAGUUUUUUUUACAGGAUGUGUGAGGCCCUCAUGUCUUCAAUCACUUCUGACUCCAUCUGGUAAACAUUUGACUGUUAAGUACAAACUUCAGCACAGCAUGUCAUUGGGACCCGGAGUUCUGGAGAUUUCUAAUAAUAUGGAAACAGGCAACAAAUAUUCAAGCCUCACUAAACUUCUCUCUCCAUCCUGUCUCCUUGGAAGCCAAGACAGAUUUGGCCAGACAUAUGAACUAAGGAGUUUCUCUGGUGCUUAGCUGGAGAGGAUGGCUCUGGGAAUCUGGGAACUUAUGGCUCUCUGUGGUUCAAAGCAUGUUUUGGCAUCUCUGGGCAUGGAACAUCUUCAAACCGUGUUAUUAUGUAACGGUUUUGGUCCAUUUGCUUGCUUCUCUGUGUGCUCAAUGUGUGUGGUGUGCCUUGACUUUAGCACACACUCUUAAUGCUUUGAACAUGUACUGUAGAAGAGUGCUGAUACAAAAAAAGCCACUGAUCUUGCUGGAAUGUUAGAAUAUUACAGGCACACACAUUAUUAUUUGAAAAGUAAACAUAAUUGUAAGUGACGUCGCAUUAGAUGCCUUGCAGCAUGAAAUAUUUACCAUAUCUAUUUUCUUAAUGCAUGCUAUUGAUUUUAUUCUUAAUGAUUCAACUGUGCAUAUUUCAUUUUUUG
Molecule: long non-coding RNA, 1020 nt
Organism: Cyprinus carpio carpio
Lineage: Eukaryota; Metazoa; Chordata; Actinopteri; Cypriniformes; Cyprinidae
Source: Ensembl